UCAUCCGGGAAAAAAAUGAUGCGUUGUUUCCCACCUUCCCCACUUUAUCGCUAACCUCUCCGUGCCCACGCCUCCACCUCUUACGCAUGAAACGUUUUCCUAUUCCCCCAUCGUUUUGGCCUUCAUCCUAAGCGAGGGACGCACCCACAGCAGCUAGGGUUCCAACCACCGCCGUCCUUUGCCCUCGACUGCCUCCCCUGUUCCCUCGGUUCGUUCAAGAGCCUCAGCCAAGCCAUCCUCCCUCGCCACUUUCUCCGCGCGUCGGGGACACACUGGACAUCGUCGCCCAUCCUCCUUGCGUUGGGGAACGCGUCGCCGCCGUCGUUUCAUGCGCAUGACCGGAGAUGCAGACGCCGGCGUUGUUUCUCCACAGUCCACACAGCAAGGAACCGAUGCCCUCGUCUUCCAACUGCAGUAGUUCAGCAGGUCCUAUUCUGCUCUCCCGCAUCUGUAUUUGUACUCUGUCAAGUAAUAUUCCCCAUGUCCUCGCCCAUCUUUGUUUUUCCUUGCCGGCCGCAUCUUACAAGCUACAACACCAAUGGACCACAUCCUCAUUGAGGCCUGUCCCUGCAUGCGUAGCUGCAUAUGCUGAUUUCAAACCUACUAAGAUUUCCUAUUUUAGCGCGCAUCACUGAAGGGGACAGUUUAACUGACCCACAAGUUUCUUGUUGAAAUAAAUGUGGGAUUCUUCUACCCAAACGUUGAACAAGAGAUGAUUUCUGCAGAGAGAGAAGUUGAGAACGUGCAAGGUUUGCAAAGGAUAUGACCAUAAUUUCGUGAUCAACCAAAAAGGCAUCUAUUCCUCAUCCCUUGAUCUCCCAGCUAGAGUUGAGCUAUGUGUGUGCAUCAACCGUUACUGAUUUUGUUGCUGCUUGUGGCCCGAGUCUUAUCUCUGCUUGGGGUGGAGCUGCAAGAUCGGACGGAAACCAGCCUUCUUAUGGUAGGAUCAGUCUCGUAUGUUCUUUCCCCCACAGCUAAUCAAUUAUUUUGUGAUGUCCUGUCUUGUAUACUAAUUAUGGCAUGCUCUUGUCUAUACUAAUUAGAUCACGCAUUCCUUCAAGGUGAAGUCAGGGGCUCAGGGUAGACAGUUCAUAGUUUUCUUGCUCUUUCCCCUUUCUGUUUGUUAGUUCAUUAUGCACGUCUUUUUCUAUGCAUGUGUUGAUAACUCCAGUUGUUCCAAUCUGAUGAUGCUUUUUUUCGUUGUGCUGCUUCUGCAAGUUGUGAGAAUUUUAUUCAUGGAUCAGGAAAUUCUAAUGUGUGACUUUGUAGUACUCAGGUAACAACGACAUUUUGUCUAAUGUAUAUUAUUUACAGAUUUUUUGAUUUGUUGGCACUAAUAAGAUUUCUCCUAAUACACCAUAGCAAGCAUGACUAAUAAGUCGUCCCAAGAAUCGGUAGUACAGGAGUGAUGUGACCCAAAGCUAACUAGUGCAGAGACCAUUGGAAAAUGGAAAUAUUCAAUUAUGUAUAGUUGGUAUAACUGGUUACCUAGAAUACUUAUCAUUUAGCCGGUUGCUGAAUUCAUCUCACUAUUACUAUAAUAUAUUUUUUGGAGAUAAUUUUUUGUAGUAAAUACAAGCUGAUGAUUGUUCACAAUGAAUAGCCAUCCGAUUGGUCAAAGGUACUCGGUGUUUCAAUACGUAGUUUUUUAUCUUAACAAGCCAUAGUUAUUCAGAACACGUGCACGACAAUUAAGAGAAAUAUAAUGGCCUCAGUUUACAAAGUAAGGGUGAAGACUCAAAGUCCCUCUGUUUGUACUACAUAGCAUGGCAAUGACCCUUUCGCUAGUGUGUAUUUUUAUUAUUUCUUUACAGAGCGAUGCUAUAGAUGAUGCAAGUAUCUGCACUUUGCACUUCUGCAUUUUGGUCUUUUUUAUAGAAAAUGGACUGGAACAAUAAAACUAUAUAAUGAUAGUUCAUAUAAUAUUGAAUUGACGCGAGAUGCAAAAAAAACAAUUAGUACACGGAUAUAGGUCGCAUAA
This is a long non-coding RNA of Triticum aestivum (bread wheat), 1981 nucleotides long. RefSeq lists it as uncharacterized. The record is from RefSeq and is a predicted model, not a curated record. Lineage: Eukaryota; Viridiplantae; Streptophyta; Magnoliopsida; Poales; Poaceae. The transcript is spliced from 3 exons.